This 4068-nucleotide ribosomal RNA is filed under the name Triticum aestivum (bread wheat). RNAcentral's name for it is "partial small subunit ribosomal RNA". Lineage: Eukaryota; Viridiplantae; Streptophyta; Magnoliopsida; Poales; Poaceae. The record is from RNAcentral.
AUGCUUGUAUUCUCUUUCGCCAGAUCUGUGGAGGCCUGCCCUGUUUGCUCUGUUUGCUCUCGCAUCGCCUCCUACCCCCUUUUUUCUGAUGUUGGUGAUGAGUUGAAUAGUUCUGAAAAAAAUGCCUGCGAUCAAGAUGGAGCUUCAGAGGUUAAUACUGAUGCUCCAAUAUCUGAUGCGGCUAAAUCACCCAUUAUCCCUUUGACUGUGAUUGCCGAGGUUGCUUCGAGCCUUGAGAAUAUUUCAAGCCUUGAGGAUCAUGCUUCUGCGGCUCUUGCUUCACCUAAUGUGUCGACAGAGGAGGAAGCUUUGAACACCAUCAAUGAUGUUUUAUCUGAUUUGGGUUUAUCAGAAACCCCUGCUGCUGUUGAGGAGGAGGCUCCGUCAGUCAAAGGUUGUGAUCCCCUUCUCCUGGAGGACCAACGUAAGAGGAAGAAGCAAGAAGAUUUUGACAAGAAGAGGGCGGCCUGCCUUGACAAAGGUUCUGAUGUUCCUGGAUCUAUUCGUGCGGCUGAGCUCACUAUUGAGGAAGACGUGCCAUGUGGUAGUGCUGGCACUGUUGUCCCUGUUAAGAAGAAAAUCAAGAAGACUGCUACGAGGAAGCUAGUAGUUAAUGCAGUUACUCCUCGGAAGAGCCCACGUGUUUCAAGGCCUGCAGAAGUUGUUGAAGAUGAAGGGUUAGGCCUUGGUGGUACGCCACACCGUAGUCCUCGCGUGCUUGCCACUGCCGCGCCUACACCUUCUCCGCUUGGUGCUGGUGCAUCUGUUAAGGGGAAGAAAUGCGGCGUGAAGCGCAAGGUUCCACCUGCAAAGGUCAACAAGGGUGCGAAGAAGCGUUCUCGUGUUAAUCCAGAAGACAAGGAUGAUGCUGACUUCAAUGCUGAUGAUGAGGAUGAUGUCGAUGAUGACGCUGCCACUACUCAGUAUCAGCUUGUGGAGCGGCCUGAGAGGAGGAAGAGAGGAUGCAAAGCGCCCGAAGAAGGUGGCCAAGGAGGAGGUGAGGCGAAACUUUUUAACAAGACGGUUCGCUGCUCACUAGGAGAGGUGAAGACGUGUGCGAAAAUGCUACAGCCUAGGCACAAGACGAGGGUUAUUGAGGCUGGUUUUGGUUGUGUGUUUGACCUGAAGGUUGAUUCCAACAUUUCUCGUCCUUUGAUGGGCAACAUCUACAUGAGGAUUGACCCUGCAACCAUGGUUCUUGACAUGGGUGAGGCGAGCAAGGUUCUGCGUAUUACAAGUGAUGCUAUUCAACAUCUGUUUGGAUUCCCUCAAGGUAAUCGUACCCCUCCUAGGCCUUCGAGUGAUGGGUUUGAUGACGCUGUUAUGAGGUUGAAGGGCAAGCUUGGGUACGCUAGGAGUGACGACAUCAAGACAAAGGAUCUGCGGAAUAUCCUCGCGGAUCUUCUGAAGGAUGAGACGAAGGAUGAUCUUGCUCUGCAGGUGUUUUACCUGAUUGUUUUCAUGAAGGUGGUUAUCCCUAGAACGUCCACACGAGUGUCCAGGGAGGCAUCAAUGGAUGAGAAUCUUGUGUUUGAGGAUAUGGCAGAUAUGGACUACUGCCAGUUGGUUGUUGAUGACCUUCGAAGUGCUGUUAUUAGGUAUCAGCAAGGUACUAGCAGAGGAAAAGCUGCCAUAGGCUGUGCCAUUGCGCCUCUUCUUAUGUACCUGGACUGCCUUAUCAUUGGCAAGACGCCUAAUGUUGACUUGAGGACGCCUCGCAUCAAUUACAUGGAUCAGGCCAAGCUUCUUGAGCUCGCUGCGGCUGACUUGGUCAGGAAAGGUGAUGACGACCUAGCCAACUGGGUGUUUGGGAGACUACCUAGCACUUCCCACCUCCGUGCUAGUUUUGUGCUGUUCAAGGAAAUACAGGACGCCCAAUGCAAGCCUUUUGAAGAUGAGGCGAGUGUUGUUGUGAGAGAGAUUCAGAGGCAGGAUCCCGUUCAUUUGGGUCGUGAAGGAGGCCAUGUGGAGCGUACCGAAGAGGCUGUUAAUGAUGGUGCUGGGGUAAGGGAGGAUGUUUUACCUGUGCAUGAAGAUGAUCAUGUGCAUGAUCCUUGCCCCUCUAGUGAUGUAUUAGUUGAUGUGGUUCAUGGCAGUGAAAAUAAGCAGAAUGAUGAUGUUAGUGUUGCUCCAGAGAAGGCUGCAGACAUGUCCGUCUCAGGCACCGGCUGCUCCGAUGGGGUGGUCCUGACUGAACCUCAGUCGUCCGUUGGCUCUGAAGUUUCUGGUGCUGAGCAGGGCAAGACAACUAGAAACAUUAUUUUGGAGAAAGAUCAUGUUGAGUCUGCUGUACAAACUGGUGGUAGUACUGCUGCAAGCCCGGAGAAGUAUCCUGCAGUAGAGCCAUCAGUUGAUGUUGAUGCUGUACAAACUGGUGGUAGUACUGCUGCAAGCCCGGAGAAGUCUGCUGCAGCGGAGCCAUCAGUUGAUGUUGAUGCUUUACAAACUGGUAGUAGUACUGCUGCAAGCCCGGAGAAGUCUGCUGCAGUAGAGCCAUCAGUUGAUGUUGAUGCUGCACAGGCACACUCAAAUGUUUUUCUUGUUCCAGAUUCUCUGGUUGCUACAGCUGCUGCUGAUAGCAACCUUGCCGUCGUUCGAAAGAAGGUUGAUGACUUUUAUUACAGUGUAACUAGGCUUAGGAAUGAUCGUUCCAAGAGAUCAAUGAUUAUGUUCCAAAACAAGGACUGUGAAGCCAUUGUUGAAGAUGUUGCGGACAAGAUUUUUAGAGGUCAAUUUGAUUCGCGUGUGAGGAAGUACUUCAUGGCGAGUGGUCCAGAUAGCAUGGAUGCACAUGAUUCGGUUGUUUUCCCUACUUUUGACCCGCCUGAGGUUCCGGCUUCCAUGGGUGGUGUCGGUCAUUUGGUGUCGGUAUUCCUUGACCUGAAGAAUCAAGGUUCCAGCUUCUCGAUUCCUACUAUGGACCAAAAGAUGAAUGUGCGUAUCGACUGCGGUUUCUUCAUGCUUACGAAUGUUAAUUCGUAUCAUGACGGGGUUCUCGCAAAUUAUUCCCAUGAGAAUAUCGGGGAUAUCAGGAAGACAUGGCUGUACUCAAUGGCUUCUUCUAACCUGUUUGAGACAGACUUCCUAUCUCUGUUUGGCUACUACACAUUGGAUCCGUUGGAGUUGACCGAUUACCACUACUCAUUCCUCGGGUCACAGGAAUACCAGCCUAGGGAGGAACCGAUGAGUACAGCUCCGAUAGAAGAUGAGAGACCUCGGACCCUCAUUCCUUCCAAGUUGGGGGAGCAGGCUGGUGGUAUUCGUGGUACUCCAAAAACCCCUUGCUACAGGAAGGCUGAUGCAGUCGAAGCAGCCGAAGUAGAAGUUAUUUCGUUCGAUGACGAUUUUGAGAAGAUUGCUUACCCGAAGAAUGUUAAACGUGCUGCUGGAACUGUUGCUGGUAGAGGUGGGAAGAAUGCAGUGAUGACCAGGAGGAAACCGGCAGUUGAGUCUGGGAACAUAACUACCUCCAAGCGAGCAUCAAGAUUGCCUUUGAAGUGGCGUUCUCCUGUCCCUCCCCUGAAAAAAUAUAGUUACCCUCAUCUAUCCGAGGCCCGGAAAUUGAAACAGUAUGUGCUGAGUAAAGACGGACUGGAGAAGUAUUCUUGGACAAGCUACUGCAUGUUUACCAUCCCUGGGAAUGUGAUUGACCUCACAGGAAAUUUCCUUUAUAGGCUUUUCGGUGAAGGGCAGCAGAUGGAAGGAGAUAUAAUGGAUUAUCUCAUAAAUUUGUGGAAGGAUAACCCGGAGACCUUUGAGAUAUUCUCUAAUCAUGACAGGGCUAAACUCCUCCCAAUGUUUGUUCGCAAGGAAGAAGACCUUCUUAAUGCAAAGCUGGUUUUAAUGAUUCUAUUCAAGCCAAUUGGCACAAUGGCGCACUACAGUGUGUACGUGGUGAAUCGAUAUCGUGGGAGCAUUGACAUCCUCGAUUCACUUUCUUACGAAAAUAUGGAAACGUUGCGAUCGAGUUUCCAUGGGGACUGCCAAAAUAUCAUGAAGAGAUUUGUUGGAUUGCUCAAGGAGGUGUACGACAAGGCUGCAUACAAGGCGAGCAAGCAGCCUAACUAG